AAAAAAGAGAAAACUAUCUAGUACAUUCAUCAUUCAACAUUUACAUCAUUAGUUUACAUUUCCAUCUCCAAAAUACAUAUAUGUUCAUCUCAUGACAUAUACAACUCUCCAAAGCAACCACACCAAAUAUACAUCAUCAUCUCUCAAGUACAUAAGGUGCUCUAAUGCAAAAAGGAAAGCUGCUAACUACUAGGGCGCUAUGCCCUUACCACGAUCCUCGCCCGAUGUGCUCAAGCUCGGCCCUACAACAAAGUGGGAUGAGAACUAAUAANCAAAGGAGGCUACUAUUUAGGGCGCUAUGCCCUUAUCGCGAUUCUCGACCGCUCCGCUCGUGCUAGGCCCUACAACAAAGUGGGAUGAGAACUAAUAAUAGUUCCCAGU
Molecule: long non-coding RNA, 381 nt
Filed under: Ananas comosus (pineapple)
Lineage: Eukaryota; Viridiplantae; Streptophyta; Magnoliopsida; Poales; Bromeliaceae
Description: long non-coding RNA (ACOM_LNC020090)
Source: RNAcentral